This 24-nucleotide non-coding RNA is filed under the name Mus musculus (house mouse). The record is from RNAcentral. Lineage: Eukaryota; Metazoa; Chordata; Mammalia; Rodentia; Muridae.
UGACAACCAUUGUGACUGCCUAGC